RNAcentral lists this ribosomal RNA (1169 nucleotides) under Escherichia coli. RNAcentral describes it as "partial 23S ribosomal RNA". It matches the Rfam family "Bacterial large subunit ribosomal RNA", at positions 1 to 1212 of the family's 2925-position model. Lineage: Bacteria; Pseudomonadati; Pseudomonadota; Gammaproteobacteria; Enterobacterales; Enterobacteriaceae. The record is from RNAcentral.
GGUUAAGCGACUAAGCGUACACGGUGGAUGCCCUGGCAGUCAGAGGCGAUGAAGGACGUGCUAAUCUGCGAUAAGCGUCGGUAAGGUGAUAUGAACCGUUAUAACCGGCGAUUUCCGAAUGGGGAAACCCAGUGUGUUUCGACACACUAUCAUUAACUGAAUCCAUAGGUUAAUGAGGCGAACCGGGGGAACUGAAACAUCUAAGUACCCCGAGGAAAAGAAAUCAACCGAGAUUCCCCCAGUAGCGGCGAGCGAACGGGGAGGAGCCCAGAGCCUGAAUCAGUGUGUGUGUUAGUGGAAGCGUCUGGAAAGGCGCGCGAUACAGGGUGACAGCCCCGUACACAAAAAUGCACAUACUGUGAGCUCGAUGAGUAGGGCGGGACACGUGGUAUCCUGUCUGAAUAUGGGGGGACCAUCCUCCAAGGCUAAAUACUCCUGACUGACCGAUAGUGAACCAGUACCGUGAGGGAAAGGCGAAAAGAACCCCGGCGAGGGGAGUGAAAAAGAACCUGAAACCGUGUACGUACAAGCAGUGGGAGCCUCUUAAUGGGGUGACUGCGUACCUUUUGUAUAAUGGGUCAGCGACUUAUAUUCUGUAGCAAGGUUAACCGAAUAGGGGAGCCGAAGGGAAACCGAGUCUUAACUGGGCGUUAAGUUGCAGGGUAUAGACCCGAAACCCGGUGAUCUAGCCAUGGGCAGGUUGAAGGUUGGGUAACACUAACUGGAGGACCGAACCGACUAAUGUUGAAAAAUUAGCGGAUGACUUGUGGCUGGGGGUGAAAGGCCAAUCAAACCGGGAGAUAGCUGGUUCUCCCCGAAAGCUAUUUAGGUAGCGCCUCGUGAAUUCAUCUCCGGGGGUAGAGCACUGUUUCGGCAAGGGGGUCAUCCCGACUUACCAACCCGAUGCAAACUGCGAAUACCGGAGAAUGUUAUCACGGGAGACACACGGCGGGUGCUAACGUCCGUCGUGAAGAGGGAAACAACCCAGACCGCCAGCUAAGGUCCCAAAGUCAUGGUUAAGUGGGAAACGAUGUGGGAAGGCCCAGACAGCCAGGAUGUUGGCUUAGAAGCAGCCAUCAUUUAAAGAAAGCGUAAUAGCUCACUGGUCGAGUCGGCCUGCGCGGAAGAUGUAACGGGGCUAAACCAUGCACCGAAGCUGCGGCAGCGAC